AGCAUAAUAACUUGCCUUUUAAUUAAUGGCUAGUAUGAAUGGAAGAACAAAAAUUACCCUGUCUCUUAAAAAAUACUAAAAAUUAGUCCUCAAGUGAAGAAACUUGAAUAAUACUAAAGGACAAGAAGACCCUGUAGAGCCUCAAACUAAAAUUAAUAUUAAAUAAAAUUUAUCUAGAUUUUUUUUGUUAAUCAAGCUUCUAGUUGGGGCAACUAAAAUAUACCAAAAUCUAUUUAUACAAACGCGGCAAACAAGCCACUUAAAUGACCCUUUUUAAGAUCAUACGAAUAGGCUACCUCAGGGAUAACAGACUAAUUCUUCUUAAAAGUUCUAAUUAACAGAAGAGUUUAGCACCUCGAUGUUGGCUUAGGGUCCCCUAAUGGCGCAGAAGCUUUUAAAGGUGGGUUUGUUCAACCCUUAAAA
Molecule: ribosomal RNA, 423 nt
Filed under: Aricidea sp. 36 PB
Lineage: Eukaryota; Metazoa; Annelida; Polychaeta; Paraonidae
Description: partial 16S ribosomal RNA
Rfam family: Bacterial large subunit ribosomal RNA
Source: RNAcentral